Molecule: long non-coding RNA, 3591 nt
Organism: Poeciliopsis prolifica (blackstripe livebearer)
Lineage: Eukaryota; Metazoa; Chordata; Actinopteri; Cyprinodontiformes; Poeciliidae
Exons: 3
Source: RefSeq, a predicted model, not a curated record
UUCUUGCAGGAGUGUGUGUGUGCGUGUACGUUUGUGUGUGGCGUACGAGUGCAUUUACUGAAUUCAUUUUAAGAGUAAUUAUGUUAAACAUGUGAGUAUCCUCAUCAUGUGUGCUCGUAUGUGUGCAUGUGUCUGGGUGUGUAUCUGUGGUGUGUGCGUCUGUCUGUCAGUCAAGCUGCAUUCAGUGACUCGGGAUAUUAUUUUGCUCGUACAAAGGUCUUGUUUUGUCCUUGUGCGUGGACAUAAAUCACCUUAAAAAUAUGCUCCACCAAAUGGCAUAAAAAUCCAUUUUUAAAAAGGCCACAUGCUGUCAGAAUGCAGCAGAACAGAACUUGUUUAAUAUAACCUGGGGAACGAAGAAUUUCUGGAAAAUCGAUCGUUUGUGAACAGGCAUUUAAGUCUAGAUCAUUUCUGCAUAUUGACAGUUGGGUCAAAAAUCUUCAGGGUUGUUCUAAUUGUUGGGAAGAAUAAUUUGUGCCUUAUACUCUUCUCUCUUCCAUCAGUCCGUCUCUUUCUUCACCACUAAUCAUAGAGCUUCAGUUGGAGCUGGUGCUUUGUGGGGAGGAGCCUGCAACAACAGAGAUCUGGGCACACAGAGCAGCUUUAAUUAGAUGGGGCCUCGUGCCAUGUGCCAUCACAGCAUGUGUGAAAAUGAAUGUGUGCCUGUAUGUUGUGCAGCUUUGUCUUUAUGUGGGGAUGCUUUUUUUUGUGUUUAUGUCUGUUUAGAUUUUCCUUUCUUUUUGCAUAAAAAUUUGUAUUAUUUACACACUGAAUAGAAAUCCCAUGGACCUUAAACCUUAAUGUCCUCCCGUAAGCACCACCCUCGAGUGUCGGCCAACUGCUUUGGCAUCAGAUAAUGUAAAUGAAGACAAACCAGUUUCUUUUGUAGUCAAAUAGCCAGGAUCUUCUUUUAAUUUAAAAAUGUAUUUCAGUCAUUGUGGGGGGUGCUGUUUGAAGUCAUCACACUCCCAUAGAGCCACUCAGUGGGCAUUGCAGAUUGACCAUAGGGAUGGGCGCCAGACUGGAGAAAGGAAGACUGGAGUCAUUGCCAGAAUGAACUGGUUCGACAACUGGUGCAAUUGUUUUUUAAUUGGUGCACCUUGCUGAUUGUUUGACAUGAAGGGUUUUUGAUAUACCCCAAGCCAAUCAACGGGUUUAGUGGACAAAGGGAGGUUUCCAGUUGGUUGAGCGGAUUUUAGGCGGGAUACAGACAACCUGGUGACAUCAUAAAAUGAGAGGUCAGAACAUUUAAAGGACGCUGAGAGCUGAAGGAUAAUUAGAAGAGCUCAAGCCAGAAGACUGACAUUUUUGUUCCAUGGAGUUAACGGUUGUUUUAUUUGUAUUACUUAGAAUAUGUUACAUGGCAUAGAUUUUUACUCAGUUUGUUAUUAGUGAAAUAAUAACAUUUUAAAACCCAUACAUAUGUUUGUUAACAUUUUUCUUAUCUGUCUUUAGGUGAGAUAUUGGCCCAUGUUUCUUGGCCUGGGGUUUAAGAGGAUGGGUAGCCUUAGGGGUUGAUUGUUAUCUUUGGUUAUCUAGCUGUAUGAGUGAUGUACAUUCUUCAUAAAGCUAGAUAACCGAAAGUAACAAGAAUCCCAUUACACUCCUGGAAAGGCAUCAAGACCCAAAGUGACUCUUUUCAUCAAAAAUGUUUAAAAUACACAAGAAGAAGUUUAACUUGAAAAAAAUGGACUGCAUUUUAAAGGAGAAUGGAUCGUUCAUCAAAUAAAGGGUACCUCACCACAUAGAGAAAAGAUAGCAAAAGAGGACUGAAAACAGAAGAGGAGGAGGGGUUGCUGUUGAUUGUGCCCUCCCUCUCUCAUCGCCCUCUUCUGCAUCGCCUCUUCCCACCUCCUCCUCUUCUCUUUCUCCUCCACACCAUCCUCAGCAGACUGCCCCUUUUUCCUGUACAGCGAAAUGCAGCCCACUCCACCAUCUUAGAGCAACGCUGGCAUAAAAUGGAAGUGGAAAGACCAGUCACUGCAGAUAAACGUUGGUGGUCACGGGGUUCCAGAAUGGACAGAACGCACAAUGAGGAGACGACAGGACUCCUCUUUCACGGCUUUCUACCAUUCAGCUGCUGUAAACAAGGAUCCUGCUGUCUGUGUGCGACUUGAUGGAUCUUGUUUCCAUGUCUGUGGAACACUUUGGCCCACCUGGAUGUUUUGUGAAGACCUUUUGGUGCUUUAGCUACAAAAACAUCAUUUUGAACUGUGGCUGUGGAAGCCUGUGGGCUAAGAAAGAUGAUGCAUAGCACUAUAAUGCUGCAGAUUUUUUUUUUAGUCUACCAUUGAUUUUUUUUUUUUUUUUUGCAUUUUGCAUAUGUCUGUACAUAACAUACAGACAAGCAGUGUAAUUCUAUAACUAACAUAUAGGCUCUCCCAUAUCUAGGUUGUUUUCAGUUUGAGUUUCAGCCCUUGCUGAUGUUCAGUUUGAUGUUCUAUUUUAGUUGCUAGGACUCAAAAGACAUGUGAAUGUGAGACCCACGACAGCAGUGAAUAAUACUGCACUGCGAUUGGACAGCUCCGUGUGUCGGGUGACACAAUGGCGAAGGAGAGAGCUGUCGUCUUUAUACUCUAUGCAACUGUUCUGUCUGUUUUGGUUUUGUUUUGGGCAGAGCCUUUUUUAUCUACGCUUUGGAUUUUUUUAAUGGGCUGACAAUUAAUGGACAUUCCUUCAUACAUUAUCAAUAUAAAUUGUUCUUUAUCCAGAAUUAAUUCUAAUUUCGAUGUGUAAAAACUGGAAUUAGAGGAGGUGUGUAUCAUAUUUUACUGGUAAUUCUAUUUUAAAGCCUGGAAAAAAAUACUUUUUGAAUAAAUGUGGAAUCAAAUAUAUAAUAUUCCUGAUGGCAGUAGUGUGUUUGAUCAGGAGGAAGUGGCACAUUGCUGCUGUGUGUAUGUUUCCUCUGAGGCACAUUAGUUUGCCUCAUAGCAGUUACCUGCGCUGCUGUAAUGAUACGUCUUUGGGUUAGACAUGACAAAUACAUUGACUUCAAACACUGCCUUAAUUUCCUGUUCACACACAAAUGCACACGCACACACACACAGAUCCCAGUGCAAUAACACAAGUACCAUUGCAGCUUAAUUCAUUUUAUAUUAAUUUUCGGGAAGUGGAUUUUUUUAUCAUUAUGAUUGAUCAUCUAUGCAAAUCUUUUAAAGUAUUACUUUAAACAAUCUAUGCACUGCUCUUUUGCUCUUGCAUUUGAUUCAAGGGAGACUGUCUUGGCCUAAUUUAGAAAAUGUAUUCUUUUGAUAAUCAUGCACAUCCCAGUGCUCGAGACAAUUACUUAUCUGCCUGGAUAAGCUUGAAAUUAUGUUUUUAAUCUUUUGCAAAAAAAUGUCUCUCUUCUGAUAUCAGUUGAGAGGCAUAAAAACCAUGAUUUCUGGUGUGAAAUAAUUAAAUCACUAUCACUUAAUAUCCUUGCUUUUUUAAAAUGCAAAUAUAAUUUAUCUGUUUAGCUUUGUCUGCUUAUUAGCUCAUUUUUUAAGAUGUAUGUUUGUAUUAUGCAACUUGUGUAUAAGUGCUCACCACAUGUGCCUUUGUAUGCAAAUCUGUAUUAGAAUAGUAAUAAAGGUUUACAUUGAAAACAAU